AAAGAGAGGAUCGGUGAGUGGCAGGGUCAGCGAACUUGCGAGCGGGAGGAUUGCGAGCAGAAGGAAUGGCAAGCGAGAGGGUCAGCAAGCGGAAGGGUCAGCAGCAAGAGGAGGAGUGAGCGAGAGGAUUGGUUCCCUGCCUGGAAGCCAGCUUGAUUGACAAGGUUGACCUCAGGUGAGCAGGAAGCACUCCAGAGGAGCCAGAGUGACAGAAGUAGCUAUGCAAAUUAGAUAAAGGAAGGGAACUGAGAUCACUGCAGCUGAUGAAAAAGUUGGGACAAAUCAAGUGACAUUUUUCUUGGACAAGUAAUCAGUAUCACCACAAGUCACUAGCUUCCGGAACCGAAGAGAGCAAUGUUCCUGAAACCUUGAAAGUGAUGACAAUUGGCACCAGAUCCAUCUAAAAUUGAACAGACUCGCAGGGAAAGAGAAAUGGGGCAUCAAUAAUUACCAAGAAACAAAACAGGAUAGAGUAAAAAUAAUGGAG
This is a long non-coding RNA of Carcharodon carcharias (great white shark), 487 nucleotides long. RefSeq lists it as uncharacterized. The record is from RefSeq and is a predicted model, not a curated record. Lineage: Eukaryota; Metazoa; Chordata; Chondrichthyes; Lamniformes; Lamnidae. The transcript has 4 exons.